RNAcentral lists this ribosomal RNA (496 nucleotides) under uncultured bacterium. RNAcentral's name for it is "partial 16S ribosomal RNA". It matches the Rfam family "Bacterial small subunit ribosomal RNA", at positions 29 to 507 of the family's 1533-position model. The record is from RNAcentral.
AUGAACGCUGGCGGCGUGCCUAAUACAUGCAAGUCGAGCGAACAGACGAGGAGCUUGCUCCUCUGACGUUAGCGGCGGACGGGUGAGUAACACGUGGAUAACCUACCUAUAAGACUGGGAUAACUUCGGGAAACCGGAGCUAAUACCGGAUAAUAUAUUGAACCGCCUGGUUCAAUAGUGAAAGACGGUUUUGCUGUCACUUAUAGAUGGAUCCGCGCCGCAUUAGCUAGUUGGUAAGGUAACGGCUUACCAAGGCAACGAUGCGUAGCCGACCUGAGAGGGUGAUCGGCCACACUGGAAGUGAGACACGCUCCAGACUCCUACGGGAGGCAGCAGUAGGGAAUCUUCCGCAAUGGGCGAAAGCCUGACGGAGCAACGCCGCGUGAGUGAUGAAGGUCUUCGGAUCGUAAAACUCUGUUAUUAGGGAAGAACAAAUGUGUAAGUAACUAUGCACGUCUUGACGGUACCUAAUCAGAAAGCCACGGCUAACUACGUG